RNAcentral lists this ribosomal RNA (492 nucleotides) under uncultured bacterium. RNAcentral's name for it is "partial 16S ribosomal RNA". It matches the Rfam family "Bacterial small subunit ribosomal RNA", at positions 29 to 507 of the family's 1533-position model. The record is from RNAcentral.
AGUGAACGCUGGCGGUAGGCCUAACACAUGCAAGUCGAACGGCAGCACAGUAAGAGCUUGCUCUUACGGGUGGCGAGUGGCGGACGGGUGAGGAAUACAUCGGAAUCUACUUUUUCGUGGGGGAUAACGUAGGGAAACUUACGCUAAUACCGCAUACGACCUACGGGUGAAAGCAGGGGAUCUUCGGACCUUGCGCGAUUGAAUGAGCCGAUGUCGGAUUAGCUAGUUGGCGGGGUAAAGGCCCACCAAGGCGACGAUCCGUAGCUGGUCUGAGAGGAUGAUCAGCCACACUGGAAGUGAGACACGGUACAGACUCCUACGGGAGGCAGCAGUGGGGAAUAUUGGACAAUGGGCGCAAGCCUGAUCCAGCCAUACCGCGUGGGUGAAGAAGGCCUUCGGGUUGUAAAGCCCUUUUGUUGGGAAAGAAAAGCAGCAGGUUAAUACCCCGCUGUUCUGACGGUACCCAAAGAAUAAGCACCGGCUAACUUCGUG